This 450-nucleotide ribosomal RNA is filed under the name uncultured bacterium. RNAcentral's name for it is "partial 16S ribosomal RNA". It matches the Rfam family "Bacterial small subunit ribosomal RNA", at positions 354 to 796 of the family's 1533-position model. The record is from RNAcentral.
GUGGGGAAUAUUGGACAAUGGGCGAAAGCCUGAUCCAGCCAUGCCGCGUGUGUGAAGAAGGUCUUCGGAUUGUAAAGCACUUUAAGUUGGGAGGAAGGGCAGUAAGUUAAUACCUUGCUGUUUUGACGUUACCGACAGAAUAAGCACCGGCUAACUUCGUGCCAGCAGCCGCGGUAAUACGAAGGGUGCAAGCGUUAAUCGGAAUUACUGGGCGUAAAGCGCACGUAGGCGGAUCAGAAAGUCAGAGGUGAAAUCCCAGGGCUCAACCUUGGAACUGCCGCCAAAACUGCAUGACUAGAGUACGGUAGAGGGUAGUGGAAUUUCCUGUGUAGCGGUGAAAUGCGUAGAUAUAGGAAGGAACACCAGUGGCGAAGGCGACUACCUGGACUGAUACUGACACUGAGGUGCGAAAGCGUGGGGAGCAAACAGGAUUAGAUACCCCAGUAGUCC